UUACUUAUUUAAUUAUUAGAUAAUACAUUUACAAACUUAUUAGAAUAAGAUUUUUAGAUGAGAAAAAAAAUUAUAUAAAACAUGGCUUGUCCAUAUGCUAAUUCAUCAUUACGUGUCAAAACGCCAUACACUCAGAAAUUCAUUUCUUCAAUAAGCAUAUAUGCUUUUCAGCAAAAUAUAGGCCUAUCCCCCCAAAAUGCAAAUUUGAUAAGAUAAGACAUAUGUAUUAUCUUCCCAUCGACUAUCGACUAGAGGAUACUCUGUUCUGUAUACACCUGAAUGAACGGUUAUACCCGGUGAAAUUUCGCAUGACCCAAACGUUUGAUCACCAUUGAUUGUCAGCUGUUUACAAGUAAGGGAAACGUGCAGGCUUUAGACGAAGUGUGCAUUUGGUUAUAGGAAUUUCUUUUACCGCUUUUGGCCAUUUACCAUCUUAACUUGUUUUGUUAUAUAUAGCACUGGAUAACACAUGCAAGUUGGAUAAAAACGAUAUUGAAGAGGAUCCAACCAGAUAUUCUCAAGAAAAUGCUGUUUUAGUUUUUCUUUUGUCUAUUUUUGUAAAUUUAAAUAAAAAUUAUGUUGAUUUUA
Saccostrea cuccullata (small rock oyster) is the source of this 588-nucleotide long non-coding RNA. RefSeq lists it as uncharacterized. Lineage: Eukaryota; Metazoa; Mollusca; Bivalvia; Ostreida; Ostreidae. The record is from RefSeq and is a predicted model, not a curated record. The transcript is spliced from 2 exons.